This 502-nucleotide ribosomal RNA is filed under the name uncultured bacterium. RNAcentral's name for it is "bacterial SSU rRNA". It matches the Rfam family "Bacterial small subunit ribosomal RNA", at positions 15 to 507 of the family's 1533-position model. The record is from RNAcentral.
GAUCAUGGCUCAGGAUGAACGCUAGCUACAGGCUUAACACAUGCAAGUCGAGGGGCAGCAUGAACUUAGCUUGCUAAGUUUGAUGGCGACCGGCGCACGGGUGAGUAACACGUAUCCAACCUGCCGAUGACUCGGGGAUAGCCUUUCGAAAGAAAGAUUAAUACCCGAUGGCAUAAUUCUUCCGCAUGGUAGAACUAUUAAAGAAUUUCGGUCAUCGAUGGGGAUGCGUUCCAUUAGGUUGUUGGCGGGGUAACGGCCCACCAAGCCUUCGAUGGAUAGGGGUUCUGAGAGGAAGGUCCCCCACAUUGGAACUGAGACACGGUCCAAACUCCUACGGGAGGCAGCAGUGAGGAAUAUUGGUCAAUGGACGAGAGUCUGAACCAGCCAAGUAGCGUGAAGGAUGACUGCCCUAUGGGUUGUAAACUUCUUUUAUACGGGAAUAAAGUGAGGCACGUGUGCCUUUUUGUAUGUACCGUAUGAAUAAGGAUCGGCUAACUCCGUG